GGACAUUAGGCUUGAAAGUUUCAAAAUUGUAAUGUUUAAAAUUCUUUGAGAUAAUUGUCAAGAUUCUAAGAUUUUCCAGGUUAUAAUCGAUACUCGUAACAUUCUUACCCCGAAAGGUCCACGGUACCGAGUCGAAGUUGUCGAUCGUCGCGGAGGCUAUCUAUCAGUCCCGAGUCAUUAGAGGAGUCGAGGCGGCCGCGAUCGUCUCUCCUCUGCGAAGGAUCAUUACGUUCUCACAUCGCUGCCUCCGCCUUCUUCCUUUUUCUCUUCUUGCGAUUCCAAGAAUUUCGAUUUCUAUUUCGAUUUGUCGAUUUUUAUUUCGAGAGAUGAUGAUGACCAGUCGCACGGUUUGACGAUACGCCAAGGAACGAAUAGAGGAGAGAUUAUGAGACAAUUUUAUAGUCUUAGAAUGAAUUAUUAG
Molecule: unclassified non-coding RNA, 421 nt
Filed under: Bombus terrestris (buff-tailed bumblebee)
Lineage: Eukaryota; Metazoa; Arthropoda; Insecta; Hymenoptera; Apidae
Description: misc RNA ENSBTSG00005020142.1
Source: RNAcentral